This 939-nucleotide ribosomal RNA is filed under the name Lysobacter antibioticus. Its description in RNAcentral is "bacterial SSU rRNA". It matches the Rfam family "Bacterial small subunit ribosomal RNA", at positions 80 to 1011 of the family's 1533-position model. The record is from RNAcentral. Lineage: Bacteria; Pseudomonadati; Pseudomonadota; Gammaproteobacteria; Lysobacterales; Lysobacteraceae.
UUGCUCCUUGGGUGGCGAGUGGCGGACGGGUGAGGAAUACGUCGGAAUCUGCCUAUUUGUGGGGGAUAACGUAGGGAAACUUACGCUAAUACCGCAUACCACCUACGGGUGAAAGCGGAGGACCUUCGGGCUUCGCGCGGAUAGAUGAGCCGACCUCGGAUUACCUAGUUGGCGGGGUAAAGGCCCACCAAGGCGACGAUCCGUAGCUGGUCUGAGAGGAUGAUCACCCACACUGGAACUGAGACACGGCCCAGACUCCUACGGGAGGCACCAGUGGGGAAUAUUGGACAAUGGGCGCAAGCCUGAUCCAGCCAUGCCGCGUGUGUGAAGAAGGCCUUCGGGUUGUAAAGCACUUUUGUCCGCAAAGAAAAGCUUCGGGUUAAUACCCCGAGGUCAUGACGGUCCCGGAACAAUAAGCACCGGCUAACUUCGUGCCAGCAGCCGCGGUAAUACCAAGGGUGCACGCGUUACUCGGAAUUACUGGGGUAAAAGCGUGCAUAGGUGGUUUGUUAAGUCUGAUGUGAAAGCCCUGGGCUCAACCUGGGAAUGGCAUUGGAAACUGGCUUACUAGAGUGCGGUAGAGGGUAGUGGAAUUCCCGGUGUAGCAGUGAAAUGCGUAGAUAUCGGGAGGAACAUCUGUGGCGAAGGCGACUACCUGGACCAGCACUGACACUGAGGCACGAAAGCGUGGGGAGCAAACAGGAUUAGAUACCCUGGUAGUCCACGCCCUAAACGAUGCGAACUGGAUGUUGGGAGCAACUUGGCUCUCAGUAUCGAAGCUAACGCGUUAAGUUCGCCGCCUGGGAAGUACGGUCGCAAGACUGAAACUCAAAGGAAUUGACGGGGGCCCGCACAAGCGGUGGAGUAUGUGGUUUAAUUCGAUGCAACGCGAAGAACCUUACCUGGUCUUGACAUCCACGGAACUUUCCAGAGAUGGAU